Molecule: ribosomal RNA, 460 nt
Filed under: uncultured bacterium
Lineage: Bacteria
Description: partial 16S ribosomal RNA
Rfam family: Bacterial small subunit ribosomal RNA
Source: RNAcentral
UGGGGAAUCUUCCGCAAUGGACGAAAGUCUGACGGAGCAACGCCGCGUGUAUGAUGAAGGUCUUCGGAUUGUAAAGUACUGUCAUUGGGGAAGAACGGUUUUCUUGAAAAGAUUGAGAAGACAUGACGGUACCCAAGGAGGAAGCCCCGGCUAACUACGUGCCAGCAGCCGCGGUAAUACGUAGGGGGCAAGCGUUNUCCGGAAUUAUUGGGCGUAAAGGGCGCAUAGGCGGGCCUUUAAGUCCGGUGUGAAAGAUCAGGGCUCAACCCUGAGAGUGCAUCGGAAACUGGAGGCCUUGAGGACAGGAGAGGAAAGUGGAAUUCCACGUGUAGCGGUGAAAUGCGUAGAUAUGUGGAGGAACACCAGUGGCGAAGGCGACUUUCUGGACUGUAACUGACGCUGAGGCGCGAAAGCGUGGGGAGCAAACAGGAUUAGAUACCCUGGUAGUCACGCCGUAAAC